RNAcentral lists this long non-coding RNA (1026 nucleotides) under Olea europaea (common olive). Its description in RNAcentral is "long non-coding RNA (OEUR_LNC014628)". The record is from RNAcentral. Lineage: Eukaryota; Viridiplantae; Streptophyta; Magnoliopsida; Lamiales; Oleaceae.
AAAUUGUAUAUAACAUUACAAAGGAUUAGAUUUCGCUGAAAUAUUGAAAUAAAUUUCGGAUCUUUCUAGAUAGUGGUGAAUUGGAACUGUUUUUGGAAAGGAUAAGUCGAGUAUUGGGCUAUUUAUCUCCUAUAGGUGAGCCAUGAACAUGUUCAUGCUGCUUCAAGGCUUAAAGCCCAAUCUGAAAAUUUAUAAGAUGCAAAAUAAUACUCUUCAUAGCCAUAGGCCAUGUAAAACCUGCACAAUAGAACAUUUCUAUAAAUUUAAGUCUAAUUGCAACUAGAAAAUUAAAAUGGAUCAACGAAGUAGUAAAAAAUAAAUUAACAAAUUUAGUCAACGCAAUGAAACAACUAAUCCAAUGCUAGAACUAAACGACCAAGAUAAAUGAAAAAGUUUUAUUUUGCAAGAAUUUUCUUCUCCUCGUGCUAGAAGAAAAGAAGCUUCUAGAGUAGAGAACACAGAAAUAUAGAGACAUCAGUAAGACAAAUAAAAGAAGUAGAAUAAUGAAAUACUUGUCAUCAAUAUCCUGUCAAUGGUCUUUCGUUGCCAAAACUUUGCAACAUCACUCUUUGAGGUAUGCAUUUAUGCUGUAGAAGGCAGUGGUUAGUGCUCUACUAAUCUCUAAUUGGUUUUACUUUUUAACGACUGGGAUGCGUUUAUGACAUUUUGACGGCAUAGAAAAAUGUUAUUGGCUAUCUAAUAAAAUCCGACCUAUAAAGUUGUGGUUGGUAUAAAACCAGUCCAGAAAGGGCGAGACCGAGCAGUGCAUGCCUCAGUUGUGUUGAAGCUUAUGCCCUGUGAUGUACCCUUACUAUGUCAAGACAUAAUUCUUGUGAAGGGCCAUUCAAAGGAUAAGCUUUGAGAGCCCUAAUGAAUGCUUGCACAUUAGGAGGUACCCUUCCGGCGCUUUUGAAAGCAUUGAAUGGGGAAGAGUGGACUGAAAAUAGGUUCUACUGGAUUGUGUAGGAAAAAUGCUGCAAAUUUAAUAGUUUCAACACGUGAAGAACUUUGGGGUAAGGCGAGAUC